GAUCAUGGCUCAGGAUGAACGCUAGCGGCAGGCUUAACACAUGCAAGUCGAGGGGCAGCAUAAUGGAUAGCAAUAUCUAUGGUGGCGACCGGCGCACGGGUGCGUAACGCGUAUGCAACCUACUUUUAACAGGGGGAUAACACUGAGAAAUUGGUACUAAUACCCCAUAAUAUCAUAGAAGGCAUCUUUUAUGGUUGAAAAUUCCGAUGGGUUAGAGAUGGGGCAUGCGUUGUA
This 234-nucleotide ribosomal RNA is filed under the name uncultured bacterium. RNAcentral's name for it is "partial 16S ribosomal RNA". It matches the Rfam family "Bacterial small subunit ribosomal RNA", at positions 15 to 240 of the family's 1533-position model. The record is from RNAcentral.